AACGAACGCUGGCGGCAUGCCUAACACAUGCAAGUCGAACGAGACCUUCGGGUCUAGUGGCGCACGGGUGCGUAACGCGUGGGAACCUGCCCUUAGGUUCGGAAUAACUCCCCGAAAGGGGUGCUAAUACCCGAUAAUGUCUUCGGACCAAAGAUUUAUCGCCUUUGGAUGGGCCCGCGUUGGAUUAGCUAGUUGGUAGGGUAAAAGCCUACCAAGGCGACGAUCCAUAGCUGGUCUGAGAGGAUGAUCAGCCACACUGGGACUGAGACACGGCCCAGACUCCUACGGGAGGCAGCAGUAGGGAAUAUUGGACAAUGGGCGAAAGCCUGAUCCAGCAAUGCCGCGUGAGUGAUGAAGGCCUUAGGGUUGUAAAGCUCUUUUACCCGGGAUGAUAAUGACAGUACCGGGAGAAUAAGCGCCGGCUAACUCCGUG
This 433-nucleotide ribosomal RNA is filed under the name uncultured bacterium. Its description in RNAcentral is "partial 16S ribosomal RNA". It matches the Rfam family "Bacterial small subunit ribosomal RNA", at positions 29 to 507 of the family's 1533-position model. The record is from RNAcentral.